CUAACUACGUGCCAGCAGCCGCGGUCAUACGUAGGAUCCAAGCGUUAUCCGGAGUGACUGGGCGUAAAGAGUUGCGUAGGUGGCUUGUUAAGCGAGUAGUGAAAUCUGGAGGCUCAACCUCCAGGCUAUUACUCGAACUGGCAAGCUCGAGAGCGGUAGAGGUAGCUAGAAUUCCCAGUGUAGGGGUGAAAUCCGUAGAUAUUGGGAGGAAUACCAAUGGCGUAGGCAGGCUACUGGACCGUUUCUGACACUGAGGCACGAAAGCGUGGGGAGCGAACCGGAUUAGAUACCCUAGUAGUC
RNAcentral lists this ribosomal RNA (300 nucleotides) under uncultured bacterium. RNAcentral describes it as "bacterial SSU rRNA". It matches the Rfam family "Bacterial small subunit ribosomal RNA", at positions 497 to 795 of the family's 1533-position model. The record is from RNAcentral.